UUGAUCCUGGCUCAGAACGAACGCUGGCGGCAGGCCUAACACAUGCAAGUCGAGCGAACCCUUCGGGGUUAGCGGCGGACGGGUGAGUAACGCGUGGGAACGUGCCCUUUGCUACGGAAUAGCCCCGGGAAACUGGGAGUAAUACCGUAUGUGCCCUUCGGGGGAAAGAUUUAUCGGCAAAGGAUCGGCCCGCGUUGGAUUAGGUAGUUGGUGGGGUAAUGGCCUACCAAGCCGACGAUCCAUAGCUGGUUUGAGAGGAUGAUCAGCCACACUGGGACUGAGACACGGCCCAGACUCCUACGGGAGGCAGCAGUGGGGAAUCUUAGACAAUGGGCGCAAGCCUGAUCUAGCCAUGCCGCGUGAUCGAUGAAGGCCUUAGGGUUGUAAAGAUCUUUCAGUGGGGAAGAUAAUGACUGUACCCACAGAAGAAGCCCCGGCUAACUCCGUG
RNAcentral lists this ribosomal RNA (448 nucleotides) under uncultured bacterium. Its description in RNAcentral is "bacterial SSU rRNA". It matches the Rfam family "Bacterial small subunit ribosomal RNA", at positions 13 to 507 of the family's 1533-position model. The record is from RNAcentral.